GACGAACGCUGGCGGCGUGCCUAAUACAUGCAAGUCGAGCGCAGGAAACUGACGGAACUCUUCGGAGGGAAGGCAGUGGAAUGAGCGGCGGACGGGUGAGUAACACGUAAGGAACCUGCCUCAAGGAUUGGGAUAACUCCGAGAAAUCGGAGCUAAUACCGGAUAGUUCAUCGGACCGCAUGGUCCGCUGAUGAAAGGCGCUCCGGCGUCACCUUGAGAUGGCCUUGCGGUGCAUUGGCUAGUUGGUGGGGUAACGGCCCACCAAGGCGACGAUGAAUAGCCGACCUGAGAGGGUGAUCGGCCUCACUGGGACUGAGACACGGCCCAGACUCCUACGGGAGGCAGCAGUAGGGAAUCUUCCACAAUGGACGAAAGUCUGAUGGAGCAACGCCGCGUGAGUGAUGAAGGUUUUCGGAUCGUAAAACUCUGUUGUAAGGGAAGAACACGUACGAGAGGUAAUGCUCGUACCUUGACGGUACCUUACGAGAAAGCCACGGCUAACUACGUGCCAGCAGCCGCAGUAA
RNAcentral lists this ribosomal RNA (524 nucleotides) under uncultured bacterium. RNAcentral's name for it is "partial 16S ribosomal RNA". It matches the Rfam family "Bacterial small subunit ribosomal RNA", at positions 28 to 523 of the family's 1533-position model. The record is from RNAcentral.